UACGGGGGGGGCAAGCGUUGUUCGGAAUUACUGGGCGUAAAGGGCUCGUAGGCGGCCAACUAAGUCCGACGUGAAAUCCCCAGGCUUAACCUGGGAACUGCGUCGGAUACUGGAUGGCUUGAAUUCGGGAGAGGGAUGCAGAAUUCCUGGUGUAGCGGUGAAAUGCGCAGAUAUCAGGAGGAACACCGGUGGCGAAGGCGGGUCUCUGGGCAACAACUGACGCUGGAGGAGCGAAAGCGUGGGGAGCGAACGGG
RNAcentral lists this ribosomal RNA (254 nucleotides) under uncultured bacterium. Its description in RNAcentral is "partial 16S ribosomal RNA". It matches the Rfam family "Bacterial small subunit ribosomal RNA", at positions 524 to 776 of the family's 1533-position model. The record is from RNAcentral.